This 336-nucleotide ribosomal RNA is filed under the name uncultured Glomeromycotina. RNAcentral describes it as "eukaryotic LSU rRNA". The record is from RNAcentral. Lineage: Eukaryota; Fungi; Glomeromycota.
UUUGAAAGGGAAACGAUUGAAGUCAGUCGUACCUGCGGGUAAUCAGCCUUUUGGGUGUGAUUAUGUGGAGCGUGAGGAGCUAAUCGCCUUCAUCUUUGCAUAUUCGUGCACUUUGGGUGUACUUGCUCGUGUGGUAGGUUAACAUCAAUUUUGAUCAUCAUAAAAUGAUUGAAGGAAUGUAGCUUCGAUCUCGUAUUGAAGUGUUAUAGCCUUUGGUAGAUGUGAUGAUCGGGAUUGAGGAUUGCAACGGAUACCCUUCGGGGCUACCCGUCUGAUCUCUGAAAGUUGCUCUGGUGCUGAAAGCUUGCUUAUGGUAUCAAAGUGACGUCAAUAGUG